Molecule: long non-coding RNA, 1318 nt
Filed under: Homo sapiens (human)
Lineage: Eukaryota; Metazoa; Chordata; Mammalia; Primates; Hominidae
Description: non-protein coding lnc-DTHD1-1:4
Source: RNAcentral
GGUGUGGUGAGUGAAAUGGAGAAGGCUAAACUUUUUCUUCCCACAUGCUCACUUCCUUGCUUGUUCGCUAGCUGCUGCAUCUGGCCCCUCAAGGGUAAAGUCAAGGGGAAAAGGAGAUUGAGAGGAAGGACAGUCUGUGAAUUGGGUCUCACCGUGUUUCCCAGGCUGAAGUACAGUGUUGUGAUAUCAGUUCAUUGCAACUUCUGUCUUCUGAGCUCAAGCAAUCCUCUUGCCUCAGCCUCUCAAGUAGCUGGGACUGACUACAGGCAUGAACCACCACACCUGGCUAAUUUUUUUUGUAUUUUUGUCGAAAAGACAGUUUCGCCAUGUUGUACAGAACUACUUCUCAAAUCACUAUUCACAUCCUGGUAGAAGUCAAGCAAUGAAGAUGGCACAGAAACACAUCCCAAAUACUAUGAUACCAUAAAGUAUACUGUAGCAAUGCAUUGGCACACCCUCAUUUGAACAUUUGUCUCAGAAGAUUUUGACAGAAGAUAAAAUUGUCUGGUUUUUAUUUCAUUGGUUUCAUGAAAAUUUAUUUCACUGGUUUCAUGUCACAGGCCCAUGACUGUAUAAAGAGUCAUAAUCUUUACAAACACAACAAUGACUCACAGCGACAUGUUGCAAAGCUGUAAUCGAAAACACUGAUGUUGAUUUCAGAGGCCAUUAAUGGUGUUAAGAAGGCGCUUUUGUUAACCAAAUAAUUGAAUACUCGUAAUUACUUUUCAGUUCUAGUUCAGUUCUUGACACCAAAACAAGCCAUUUUCUUUACAUAGUGAAUGCAGAACUUGCCAGUAAGAACUUUCAUACUAAACUUCUAUGUAAAACAAAACAUGUCAAAAUCAGUAACUACUUUAAUGGAAUGGUAAAGAAUUUACUUAAACACAAAGGAAUGAAAAUAUCUCUGCAAAUAUGUCUAUUGACUUUUCAAAUUUGGUGACUUCUUUCGAAUUAAUUCCCUUACGUCUGUUCCUCAUCCACAUAAAAAUGACAAAAAUGAAAGAUAAUUUUCCAGCCUAUAAUUAAAUUUCUCCAUUGUUGGUAUAUGUUUUUUCAAAUACAUUUUUCAGUUUUCAUAAUUCAUAUGAGAAUUAUUAAAAGGGAGUUAGUUGCCUUUAGGACCUUAUUUGGAGCCUAAUUCUUAAAAAUUGUGUAAAAAUAAUUGUGACUUUUAAGAGACAAUUGGAAAUUUGAACCUGACCACAUUUUUGUGAUAUUAAGGAAUUUUAUUAAUUAUUUUCUAGGUGGGGGAAUGAUAUGAUGAUAUUCUUAAAAUAAUGUGUGGAUUGUUUAUUACAUUUCAACAUUUUCUUAAUCA